Molecule: ribosomal RNA, 496 nt
Filed under: uncultured organism
Description: bacterial SSU rRNA
Rfam family: Bacterial small subunit ribosomal RNA
Source: RNAcentral
AGCGAACGCUGGCGGCGUGCCUAACACAUGCAAGUCGAACGUGAAAGUAGCAAUACGAGUAAAGUGGCGUACGGGUGAGUAACACGUGGAUAAUCUACCUUAAAGUUUGGAAUAACCGGCCGAAAGGCUGGCUAAUACUGAAUAGAUCAAAUGCAAUAUAAAGUUGCGAUUGGAAAAGGGAGCCUGCAAGGGCCUUCGCUUUAAGAUGAGUCUGCGUCCCAUUAGCUAGUUGGUAGGGUAAAGGCCUACCAAGGCGAUGAUGGGUAGCUGGUCUGAGAGGAUGAUCAGCCACACUGGAACUGAAACACGGUCCAGACUCCUACGGGAGGCAGCAGUGGGGAAUUUUGCGCAAUGGACGAAAGUCUGACGCAGCCACGCCGCGUGAGUGAAGAAGGCCUUCGGGUUGUAAAGCUCUGUCGGAGGGGACAAAAACCUCCUUGGUUAAUAGCCUUGGAGCUUGAUGGUACCCUUUAAGGAAGCACCGGCUAACUUCGUG